CCUACGGGAGGCAGCAGUCGAGAAUCAUUCACAAUGGGGGAAACCCUGAUGGUGCGACGCCGCGUGGGGGAAUGAAGGUCUUCGGAUUGUAAACCCCUGUCAUGUGGGAGCAAAUUAAAAAGAUCGUACCACAAGAGGAAGAGACGGCUAACUCUGUGCCAGCAGCCGCGGUAAUACAGAGGUCUCAAGCGUUGUUCGGAAUCACUGGGCGUAAAGCGUGCGUAGGCUGUUUCGUAAGUCGUGUGUGAAAGGCGCGGGCUCAACCCGCGGACGGCACAUGAUACUGCGAGACUAGAGUAAGGGAGGGGGAACCGGAAUUCUCGGUGUAGCAGUGAAAUGCGUAGAUAUCGAGAGGAACACUCGUGGCGAAGGCGGGUUCCUGGACAUUAACUGACGCUGAGGCACGAAGGCCAGGGGAGCGAAAGGGAUUAGAUACCCGAGUAGUC
Molecule: ribosomal RNA, 446 nt
Filed under: uncultured bacterium
Lineage: Bacteria
Description: partial 16S ribosomal RNA
Rfam family: Bacterial small subunit ribosomal RNA
Source: RNAcentral